Lathyrus oleraceus (garden pea) is the source of this 765-nucleotide long non-coding RNA. RefSeq lists it as uncharacterized. The transcript is spliced from 2 exons. The record is from RefSeq and is a predicted model, not a curated record. NCBI's taxonomy places the organism in Eukaryota, Viridiplantae, Streptophyta, Magnoliopsida, Fabales, Fabaceae.
CACAACCAUCACCACGUCAGCAACACUAAUAUGAUCCCUUUAUAUAGCGAGAAAUGGAGUUUGGGUUUUCACAAAUUCCUCACUUCCUUUAUUCCUAUCUUCCUCGAUAUCUCCUUGUAGCUUUCUACACAACGAUGGCUAAAUCUCAACGGUUUUCCAUGGAUCUGAAAUUCGGCUCAUCAGAUCUUUCGUUCCUUGGCGAGAUCUGCGUAUUCGUAUAACUUUUGAAGUCCCUUCGUGUUCGUCACUGUUGUUGAAUCACCCUAUACAAUUGGAUCGUUGCGAUGAUGGUAUCUCAUCGCUGCUUGCUUCAGUUUCAUUUGUUGUAGAGAAGAUUAUUGUAACGGAAGCGUUGCUGGCUUGUUGCUUCUCAUUAACGUCAAAUCUCUAUUCAUGUUGUGAAUUUAGAUUAUGUGAUUGUUGUUUGGGGGAUGAAGUUGUUCUGAAUAAUAUCUUUGUGAUCCGACCUUUGCCAUGGCAGGUGCGCUUGCAUGGCAGGUCCAAAAAAAUAUGAAUAAAAAGAAUAUUUUGUUGUUUUUGAGAGAGAUCGCACGGAAAUAGUCCGGGAUCUCUCUCUCGUGUGGUCUGUGUGAUCUUCUUCUCUCAUUUUUCUUUCGUUUUUUCUUUCGUUUUUUCUUCAUUACUCUAUCACGCACACUCAUCUACAAAGGUAAUGUGUAUUGGUAUUUACGUUAAACUUUAAUUUGCAUUGACAAGAUUGUUGAGAAAAGGUAUAUUAAGGAUAGUUUAAUAUUAACGAAUUCA